RNAcentral lists this transfer RNA (75 nucleotides) under Cronartium ribicola 11-2. Its description in RNAcentral is "tRNA-Thr (AGT) (tRNA-Thr-AGT-13-1)". It matches the Rfam family "tRNA". From Rfam's summary of the family: Transfer RNA (tRNA) molecules are approximately 80 nucleotides in length. Their secondary structure includes four short double-helical elements and three loops (D, anti-codon, and T loops). Lineage: Eukaryota; Fungi; Basidiomycota; Pucciniomycetes; Pucciniales; Coleosporiaceae. The record is from RNAcentral.
GUGUCUGUAGCCUAGUGGUAAAAGGCAGCAACUCUAGUAAUGCUGAGGUUGUGGGUUUGAAUCCCACCAGACACA